GUCUUUUUGAAAAUAUAAAAAGUCAAGCCUGCCCACUGAUUAAUUUAAGGGCCGCGGUAUUUUGACCGUGCGAAGGUAGCGUAAUCAUUAGGUUUUUAAUUGAAAUCUUGUAUGAAUGGUUAGACAAGGGAAAAUCUGUCUCUGUUAUUAAAAAUUGAAUUUAACUUUUAAGUGAAAAGGCUUAAAUAAAUUUAAAAGACGAUAAGACCCUAUAAAGCUUGAUAUUAAAUAUUAUUUAAUUAAAUUUCAUAUAAAAUUUUUAUAAUAUAAUUUUAUUUUAUUGGGGUGAUAAAAGUAAAAAGAUUACUAACUGCUUAUGUAAAAAACAUAUAUAAUUGAAAUAAGUUUAUAAUAGAUCCUGAUUAAAGAUUAUAAGUUUAAGUUACUUUAGGGAUAACAGCGUUAUUUUUUUUGAGAGUACAUAUCGAAAAAAGAGUUUGCGACCUCGAUGUUGAAUUAAAAUUUCUUUAUAGAAGCAGAAACUAUAAAAGUUGGUCUGUUCGACCUUUAAAAUUUUACAUGAUUUGAGUUCAAACCGGCGUGAG
RNAcentral lists this ribosomal RNA (545 nucleotides) under Macrophthalmus definitus. RNAcentral describes it as "partial 16S rRNA". It matches the Rfam family "Bacterial large subunit ribosomal RNA", at positions 1819 to 2625 of the family's 2925-position model. The record is from RNAcentral. Lineage: Eukaryota; Metazoa; Arthropoda; Malacostraca; Decapoda; Macrophthalmidae.